This is a long non-coding RNA of Lingula anatina, 314 nucleotides long. The record is from RefSeq and is a predicted model, not a curated record. NCBI's taxonomy places the organism in Eukaryota, Metazoa, Brachiopoda, Lingulata, Lingulida, Lingulidae.
CCAGGUCCAGGUGUCUUCACGUCCCUCUUCAGACGCUGCACCCAUUGUACUGAGUGCCAGUGUGAGCAGUGAUACCGUAGAUAUUGCAGAUCCGAGUAUGUCUCGCAUUGUCAUAUACGGAGAGGUUACUCAAGGCUACACACCGGUAGUUGGCGCCACUGUGGUGGCUUAUGUUGACACAAGUGCUGGGAAUACCCACACAUUACAACUGCUUGAUAACGGGGCAGGUGCGGAUAACGCAAAAAACGAUGGAAUCUAUACAGCGUACUUUCUUAACUUCGGAGGCAACGUGAAACAUUCAGUGCAAGUUGCAG